This 1345-nucleotide ribosomal RNA is filed under the name metagenome. RNAcentral describes it as "bacterial LSU rRNA". It matches the Rfam family "Bacterial large subunit ribosomal RNA", at positions 1564 to 2925 of the family's 2925-position model. The record is from RNAcentral.
UGAGUACGAGCUGCUACGGCAGCGAAGUGGGUGACGUCAAGCUUCCAAGAAAAGCCCUACACCCGUUAAGGCAUGAUGGCCUGUACCCGAAACCGACACAGGUGGGGUGGUAGAGAAUACCGAGGGGCGCGAGGUAACUCUCUCUAAGGAACUCGGCAAAAUGGCCCCGUAACUUCGGGAGAAGGGGUGCCACCGCAAGGUGGUCGCAGUGAAGAGGCCCAGGCGACUGUUUACCAAAAACACAGGUCUCCGCUAAGUCGCAAGACGAUGUAUGGGGGCUGACGCCUGCCCAGUGCCGGAAGGUUAAGGAAGCUGGUCAGCGCAAGCGAAGCUGGCGACUGAAGCCCCGGUGAACGGCGGCCGUAACUAUAACGGUCCUAAGGUAGCGAAAUUCCUUGUCGGGUAAGUUCCGACCCGCACGAAAGGCGUAACGAUCUGGGCGCUGUCUCGGAGAGAGGCUCGGCGAAAUAGAAUUGUCUGUGAAGAUGCGGACUACGUGCACCCGGACAGAAAGACCCUAUGAAGCUUUACUGUAGCUUGGUAUUGUGCCCGGGCUCUGAAUGCGCAGGAUAGGUGGGAGGCUUUGAUCCAUUGCUUGUGGGUGAUGGUGAGCCAACGGUGAGAUACCACUCUUUCAGAGCUAGGGUUCUAACGGUCACCCGUUAUCCGGGGACCGGACAGUAUCAGGUGGGCAGUUUGACUGGGGCGGUCGCCUCCUAAAAUGUAACGGAGGCGCGCAAAGGUUCCCUCAGGCUGGUUGGAAAUCAGCCGAUGAGUGUAAAGGCAGAAGGGAGCUUGACUGUGAGACCUACAAGUCGAACAGGGACGAAAGUCGGCCUUAGUGAUCCGACGGUUCUGAGUGGAAGGGCCGUCGCUCAACGGAUAAAAGUUACUCUAGGAUAACAGGCUGAUCUCCCCCAAGAGUUCACAUCGACGGGGAGGUUUGGCACCUCGAUGUCGGCUCAUCGCAACCUGGGGCUGAAGUCGGUCCCAAGGGUUGGGCUGUUCGCCCAUUAAAGCGGUACGCGAGCUGGGUUCAGAACGUCGUGAGACAGUUCGGUCCAUAUCCGGUGCAUGCGCAGGAAUAUUGAGAGGAUUUCUCCCUAGUACGAGAGGACCGGGAGGAACGCACCUCUGGUGUACCAGUUAUCGUGCCAACGGUAAACGCUGGGUAGCCAUGUGCGGAGUGGAUAACCGCUGAAAGCAUCUAAGUGGGAAGCCCACCUCAAGAUGAGUAUUCCCAUGGCGUUAGCCAGUAAGGUCACGGGCAGAACACCCGUUGAUAGGCUCUACGUGGAAGCCGGGUAACCGGUGAAGCGGAGGAGUACUAAUAGACCGAGGGCUU